UAGUCUCGCACAGAUGCAUAUCAAUAAGCGGAGGAAAAGAAACUAACAAGGAUUCCCCUAGUAACGGCGAGUGAAGCGGGAAGAGCUCAAAUUUGAAAUCUUAAAGGGUUUCCCUUUACGAAUUGUAGUUUAAAGAAGUGUUUUCUGUUGAGGUUUUGGUAAAAGUUCUUUGGAAUAGGACAUCAUAGAGGGUGAGAAUCCCGUAUUUGGACCUUUACUUUCAACUUUGUGAUACACUUUCAAAGAGUCGGAUUGUUUGGGAAUGCAGUCCAAAAUGGGUGGUAAAUUUCAUCUAAAGCUAAAUAUUGGCGAGAGACCGAUAGCGAACAAGUACCGUGAGGGAAAGAUGAAAAGAACUUUGAAAAGAGAGUUAAACAGUACGUGAAAUUGUCAAAAGGGAAGCGUUUGACACCAGUGUUGUUUUUCUGAAAAUCAAUUAAAGAACUGUUUAUGCUAAGUUGUUUAGACUUUAUCAGCUAACUGUUUAGUUUUGAGCUUUUCUUUAAUGCACUUUUCAGUUAACAAGUCAACAUCAAUUUCUUUUGCUGUAAAAAAGCUUGAGGAAGGUGGCUUGAGAUUCGUCUUAAGUGUUUAUAGCCUCUUGCCUAUGCAGUCGGAGAGAUUGAGGUCUGCAGCGUAGAUCCUUCGGGGCUAAAUGCAUUUGUGCUAAGUUAUAGCAUUUUAUAGACAACUUGUUGACUAUGAUUUGUCUUGUAGCUUACUCGCUUAUGUUAUUUUACCUACGCUUAGGAUGUUGAGUAGCGACAUACGCAC
Molecule: ribosomal RNA, 774 nt
Filed under: uncultured Neocallimastigales
Lineage: Eukaryota; Fungi; Neocallimastigomycota; Neocallimastigomycetes; Neocallimastigales
Description: partial large subunit ribosomal RNA
Rfam family: Eukaryotic large subunit ribosomal RNA
Source: RNAcentral